UCUCAUGAUCAGUUGGUGAGAAAUGCAUGUGUCCACAAAUAUCAAAAUGGUAGAGCCCAGCAAGACUUUUAAGUCUCCUACUGUCCUGAGAGUUAAGGAAGCUAUAUAGCUCCUCUGUCAGUCUCUGCGUGCUAUUGCUGUCUUGUUUUGCAAAUCUGCAUUCAUCAUCUCCUUCUCCUUCUACCUACGAGAGAAGCUCUGUGCCUGGUUACACAAGGAAACUAAGAUGGCAGUAGAUUCUGUGCUUACUUUUGCGACCGAGCGAAUACUGACGAAGCUGACUGACCUUGCUGCUCAAGAAAUCAGUCUUGCCUGGGGAUUCAAAGCUGAACUAAACAGGCUUCGCAAAACACUGUCCACCAUGGAAGGUUACUUAGCCGACGUUGCCCAGGGACCACAAGGUCGGAGCAAGUCCGUAGAAGAUUGGGUGACGAAUCUUAAACGCCUAGCUCAAGAUGCAGAUGAUGUCUUGGAUGAAUUCAACUAUGAACUUCUCCGGCGCAAAGUAGAAAUCCGAAAUCAUAUGAAGAAAAAGGUACUCAACUUCUUUUCAAUCUCCAACCCGGUCGCAUUCCGCCUUAAAAUUGCACAUAAAAUUCAGAAGAUCAAUGCAUCCUUGGUGGAUCUCAAGAGUGAGGCUCCUGUCAUUGGACUAGUUUCCAAGAAAAUAGAUGCUGCCCCUCAAGGAAUUAGAGGACGCAUACAAACCGACUCAUUUCCUGAAAAAGAUGGAAUCAUCGUUGGCAGGGAGGAGGUUGUCUCAAACAUAGUUACAACCUUGACCAACUCCAACAUCAAUCAAGAAAAUCUUGCUGUUAUGGUCAUUGUGGGAAUGGCAGGCCUAGGAAAGACAACUUUGGCCAAGUCUGUAUACAAUGAUAAUUCUAUAGAAGGGUAUUUUGAUAAAAAAGUAUGGGUGUGCGUAUCUGAUCCUUUUGACGUCAAAAUGAUUUUAAUUUCCAUGUUAGAAUCUCUUAGCAGAUCAAAUGUUCCAAGAGAAAGUCAGGAUGCACUGCUUAUACGCCUUCAAGAAGAGCUGAAGGGGAAAAAAUAUUUACUCGUUCUUGAUGAUGUUUGGGACUCUGAAAAAUGGAAUGAGUUGAUGAAUUGUUUGUUAAAGCUUGAAUCAGCUCAGGGAAGCACAAUUUUUGUCACUACCCGCAGUGCCCAAGUUGCAUUAAUCACAGAAACACUUCCGCGGCCUGAAUUGGAGCGUCUAUCAAGAGAUGAAUGCUGGUCCAUAUUGAAACAUGCAGCUUGCACAAAUGGUAGUUCUGAUAUUCUUCAUUUAGAGAGUAUUGGACGGGAGAUUGCUAAAAAAUGUGAUGGUCUACCAUUGAUGGCAAAGGUUUUGGGAGGCAUUUUGCGCUCUAAAAAGACUACUGCUGAAUGGUCUAAAGUCAAAGACAGUAGAAUAUGGGACUUACCAAAGGGAGAAGAUAGAAUCAUGUCAGUCUUGAAGUUGAGUUUCAGCGAUUUGGAAUCACUAGAACUGAAGCAAUGUUUUGCUUAUUGCUCAGUGUUCAUGAAAGAUGCCAUAAUGAAAAGAGACGACUUGAUUCAACUUUGGAUGGCUCAAGGAUUUCUCCCAGAAAAAACUAAUCUAGAGAUGGAGGAUAUAGGUAAUGAAUAUUUUGAUAUUCUAUUCCAAAGCUCCUUAUUUCAAGAGGCUAAAGUGGAUGAUGAUGGCAUUGUUAUUCAAUGCAAGAUGCACGAUCUCUUGCACGAUCUUGCAGAACGCGUAUCCGAAUCUGGAAGCAUGAUGCGAGGCUUCCCCAAGAUUCAAGAUGCUGCAACUCCCAGUAUUAUAGAAAGAAUUUCAGAAGGAAGUAGUGGGAAAUUGAGAUCACUGUUUUCGAAUGCUAGAGCACUACCUCGAAAUAUGUUGCCAUGGUUUAAAGCUUUACGUGUCUUAAAAUUAUAUGCGGCAAAUAUUGAGGAGCUCCCAAGUUCAAUUAGAAAGCUGAAACACUUGAGGUAUCUUGACAUUUCCCGAACAGGAAUCAAAAGUCUCCCAAAUUCUAUUGGCAAGCUAUAUAACCUACAGACAUUAAGAGCAACAUACUGCUUCAACCUUGAAGAAUUUCCAAAAGACGUGCAAAACUUGAUCAAGUUGAGAUAUGUUUAUUUCGAAGAGGAAACGAAAUUUCCAGCUGGGGUAUUAGGGAGAUUAACUAGCCUCCGAACAUUACCUCCCUUUAAUGUGGGUAAGGAGAUGGGCAGGGAAAUUGAAGAGCUGGCUGCCUUGAAUCAAUUGAAAGGUGAUCUAAUUAUUUAUAAUUUGGAACAGGUAAGCAAUGGAGAUGAAGCAAGGAAAGCUAAAUUAGAGGAGAAGAAAAAUGUACGGCACUUGAAAUUUAUAUGGUCUGCAUAUAUGUCAAUAACCAACAAUAAUAAUGAAGAUGUACUAGAAGGCCUCCAACCGCAUUCUAAGUUGGAAAGGCUAGAGAUUCAAUAUUUCAUGGGUUUCAAAUUUCCAUCAUGGUUGAUUAAGCUUGACAAUUUAAAGCAGAUUAAGCUUACGGGGUGCAGAAGAUGUGAAAAAGUCCCAACACUCGGCCAUCUACCUUGUCUUACAGUUGUUUGGAUUGAUUCAAUGAAUAAUCUAAAAUGUGUUGGAGCAGAGAUUUAUGGAACCGAUCUUGUUUAUGACGAGGCAACGGCAGGUAUAAGGGAAGUAGUUGUAUUUCCAGCACUGGAAGAAUUACACAUUUGUAAUUGCGAGGAGCUAAUAGAAUGGAUGGAAACAUCAGAACAAGUCACGGUGUUUCCUUGCCUAGAGGAGCUGGAUAUUUGGAAUUGUCCCAAAUUGAGAACGAUUCCCAGUCAUUUUCCAUCUCUGAAGAAGUUGAAGAUACAAGGUAAUGAGGAGCUUACAUGUCUGCCUAAAGGGAUGUUGUUAAAGAUAGAACGUAUGAAGAUAGGAGAGUGUAAGAAGUUAACUUGUAUUGCCCCUGAUGUCUUUGUUUGUUGUGCAUCUCUUCGAAAGUUGGCUGUAGAUAAUUGCCCUAGUUUACAAUCUAUUCCAGCUUUAAACCUCUUCACAUCCCUCCAUGAAUUGGACAUUGAAAAUUGUGAGAGAUUAGAAAGUUUGGUGAGUAGUGGGCCCGUCUCUGUUGUGGAGUUGCGUAUACGGAGUUGUGGUGGUCUACAAUCUAUUCCAACUUUAAACCUCUUCACAUCCCUCCAUAAAUUGGACAUUAACGGAUGUGAGAGAUUAGAAAGUUUGGUGAGUAGUGGGCUCGUCUCUGUUGUGAACUUUAAUAUAGAUCAUUGCAGUGGUCUACAAUCUAUUCCAGCUUUAAACCUCUUCACAUCCCUCCGUGAAUUGUACAUUAAGAAAUGUGGGAGAUUAGAAAGUUUGGUGAGUAGUGGGCCUGUCUUUGUUGUGCAGUUUAGAAUAACUGAAUGUGGGGGUCUACAAUCUAUUCCAGCUUUAAACCUCUUCACAUCCCUCCGUGAAUUGUACAUUGUCGAAUGUGAGAGAUUAGAAAGUUUGGUGAGUAGUGGGCCCGUCUCUGUUGUAGAGUUGCUGCGUAUAAGAGUUUGUAGUGGUCUACAAUCUAUUCCAACUUUAAACCUCUUCACAUCCCUCCGUGAAUUGGACAUUAACGGAUGUGAGAGAUUAGAAAGUUUGGUGAGUAGUGGCCUACAACUGCCCGCCUCUCUUGUGACGUUGGAAAUAACAAAUGCCCCUAAUUUAGAGAGUCUUCCAAGUUUAGACAACCUCACAUCUCUCUGUCAGUUGGUGAUUUUUAAUUGUGAGAAUUUAAAAUAUCUGCCCACAAGGCUACACUGCUGCUCUAGUUUGAAGACAUUGGAACUUGGUGGGUUCUGGGAGGAGCUCGAUUCCUUCCCUGAUUUCCAUCUUGGAACUGGUUCAUCACAACUUCAAAGCUUAGAGUUGAUUGGGUGGCCCAAGCUCAAGUCUCUGCCUCAACAAAUUCAACACUUCACUUCUUUAACAUCUUUGGAGAUACGCAAAUUCGAUGGAGUGGAUGCUCUUGAGGAUUGGGUGGGUAACCUUACAUCCCUUACGACGCUGUCGAUUUACUGGUGCAAGAAUCUCAUGUAUCUACCUAGUGUCACAACUAUGCAAUGCCUCACCAAAUUACAAACCCUAGACAUUUGGUUUUGUCCCCUUUUGGAGGAAAGAUGCACCAAGGACAGCGGCCCAGAAUGGCCCAAGAUUUCUCACAUUCCAAAUAUCGAAAGUAAUUUCUUCUUUCCUGAAGACAAAUUUCCUUUUCAUUCUUCACCUUUCGGUUUAACUCAAGUUUAUUCAUUCUGAAUCAUUUCUCAAAGGAAUAAGACUUGUUUAUCCUUCUCCUUUUUCUUGUCUGUUUUGGACUAGACAGCAGACAGAUUGACUCCACGCAUACAAUGAAUUCGUAAUAGCUUCAACUUUGAUAGUGAAGAAAUGUAAGGUUUUAAUCAGUAUUGGUUGUCUGCUUGAGUCUAACCACUUGUCACCACUUGUGGAUUCUUUAUCACCACUUGUUUAGAGGGCCUGAGGGGGUGGGUAGAGAGAGAGAGAGAUUGAUAUAUAGAGAGGAUUUAUUUGCAUUGUAACAACUUAAUUGAAACAGAACAAAGAAGAAGGAAAUGGAGGAAUGCUCUCUCUAUUGCACCAUGUAAUUUAUGCAAAUCUGCAGGACUUUUCACAUUUUCUUAGCAUAUUCAUCCUCUCCAAGGACAAAAAAUGAAGUGGAGUGGAGUUCGUUGUUUCUUUGAA
Non-coding RNA from Prunus avium (sweet cherry), 4735 nucleotides. The record is from RefSeq and is a predicted model, not a curated record. Lineage: Eukaryota; Viridiplantae; Streptophyta; Magnoliopsida; Rosales; Rosaceae.